AUGGUGUUCAGAGGUGGGCAGGGAGCGGUGGGUGGAUGGAGGAAGCAGGAAGGGUCAAGAAUGAAUUCCUUCCUGCUUCCAAAAAGCUGCUGGCUUCCAUCCAAGGAUGAUGCAGAGAUCAGAUCUGUCUUAAGCCACUUCAAGAGAUUGAUGGGUUUGGGGGGGGGGAAACUCUCUCGAGGGAUAAAUGGAGGGUUUUAUAAAAUUUAUAAGCUCAAAGCGGUUUACUGCUGCUCUCCCCCUGAUGACUCUCUUCUGUUUCCACCUGUAUACACACACAGGGGGCCGUACUCCAUUCUGGGCGAUCAAGAACAGUUGGGGAGAGAACUGGGGAGAGAAGGGCUACUACUACCUGUAUCGUGGCAGCCAUGCCUGUGGCAUGAACUCAAUGUGCAGUUCUGCAGUGAUAGAGUAAGCCUCUCGGGCCCCUUGACUGCCUCCGGUCCAAAUCAUCAACUUGCUGGCUUUCCACCCAGCACCAAGAUGAAGAUCGGAGCACCUUCCCUGUACAUUAUACUGACCCUGUUUACCCAUUUCCCUUUCCAAAUAGCCCUGGUUAGGCCUAGUGCAUAACUAAGAAGAUCUGGCCCCUGCUCCUGCCUGCUGCUAUGAACGGUAGAGACUGGAGGUAGCAUGUCCUAGGAUAGGACCCUUAACCUUGCUGAGAUCCUUCAACCAGGCCAGGAUUGGUGCUGGUGUGUGUUUAAAGGGUGCUUCCCUUUCCAGUAGGAGCAGAUUCCUUCCCCCGACUCUCAGUGAAGGGGUACUUGGUGCCUGGGCAGAUGCACAGAGGAUGGUGAAGGGGACUUGCUCUUCUGAAAUGGUUAGGUCAUCAGUUGCUCCUCGCUGUGAGCCUCCUCUUUUACCUUGGUCAAUCCUGAGCUGCUUUUUGGAAGGCAGACUGGGAAUUGGGGCCGGGGAGGAAGGGGCAGUGAUCUAACUACCAGCUCCCAUCCCAACUCCCUCUGCAAAAAGCAGAGCUCCUUACUGUUUUCUAACCAUAGGCCUCUUAAGUUUGGGCCAUAGCUCAGUAGAAGAGCAUCCACUUUGCACACAGAAGGUCCCAAACAGUUAUAGAAUCUCAUACAGUCCUGGGAUUGUAGAGUUGGAAGGGGACCCAAAGAGUCAUCUAGUCCAACCCUCCAAUCCUCAGGAGGCAGGGCUAGGGAAGGCCCCCCUCAAGUUGAAGAGCUGCUGUGCUAGAUGGACAGCAGACAGUCUGACUUGGUCUAAGGCCAGCUUCCUGUCUCCAUACAACUUGGGGAACCAGCUUGCAUUUAAGACAAGAUGUUCCAAGGAGCUUCACAACUCACUCAAGCCCGCUUAAAUAAGUGCAGGUGAAUUUUCCCUUCUUUGUGGAGAUGAGGGGAGCACAUUUAACACCCUUAUUUCCCAGUUAGUCAGGGGCUUCUUUCUUUUGCACUCUCCAAGUCUUCCCGCUCCCCUUAGGGAUUGUAGCACUGAUAAAUGCCCUCCCAAAAAAUGGGGUACCCUUGUUUCCGUUAGCUCAAGUCUUCCUCUGCUUCUGGAAGACUUGACGUGGUGGAGCCGCAGCCUUGCAGGACAGUCUUGCCUGUGGCUGGGCGGCUCCGCUAGCCUGUAGGAAAAGUAACCAUUCCAGUAUUGGUCAGCUUUUGCACUUAGAUGCCAUGAAAUCUUUCUCCCUGCACCCACUACAAAAAAAGAGGUCAAACCCAGCCCACAUUUUUUUUUAGAUUUAGCUGCUCUGUAUUAAUGUUUGCUGCUAGAAUGGAAAUAUUGGUGGAAGGUUUGAAGGCAAUGCUGAGAGAUGAUCCCUAGCUUGGUCAGUCCUAAGCACCACCCAAACCUUCUCCUCCAAGGAAUCCUACUUGAGCACUCCCCACCCCCCAGCCCCGUUGCACUGAGGGCUUUUGGGGAGUGGAAGGCAUAACUAGCACUUGCAAAAUGGUUGCUAUAGAAAGUGUUUUUCCUUUGAUUGUUGCUCUGAACACCCCACCCCCACCCUGAAAAAGCUGUUUCCCCUUCAGGGACUCUAAUCUCAGCCAGAAUGGCCUGAACGUGGCUGCAAAAAAAAGUGUUUCUGGAAGACGCAGCUGCUCAGGUGGCUGUGCCUUCUGUCUGUUACUUUAAAGACGCAGCCUUUGGUGUUUCUGUAAUUUCCACACUAAUAAAUACUGAUGGACUCUGAACUAAAGUGUCUGUGUGUUUCAGGGGUGAGGGCAGUGUGACGCCUGGAGUCUUGAGGGUGGGAGACUAGGUUUACCUUCUGCUGAGUACUCCUGAGUAGGUCUUGCCAGCAUCCUUCCAAGGCGGAUGAGAGACAAAGUUGGGUGGGAAGUCAUCAGAAGAGGCUUAUCUCAGAGGCAGUGCUUUUUUACUUUAAAAAAAAAUGUUUAAGAGUACUCUCAUUUUCCUACUCAUAUUGAAAUACUGCCUCUCAAUGAGGCCAAACUUAGAUUUACAGAAUGUUUAGGGGUUUGCGUAUCCCCAGAAAAAAAUACUGCUCAGAGGUGACACAAGGCGAAAUAGGAAGUGCUGCCCCACCACUGAACUGCUUGCCUCUGCCACGGGUGGAGAAGUGGUGCCAGCAUUGACACUGACUUCCAACAAGAUUCCGCUGGAAAUUUGCACCAAUGCCAGGGGCGGGAUGCUGCCUCAGGGGCUUCUGCCACCAGAGGCAGCUGCUUUACCCUGCCUCAAGUUGGGCCAGGUCUGCAUUCCACUGUUGAACAGCUCUUACCAUCAGAAAGUUCUUCCUUGCCAUUUGAAGUGAUUGGUUUGGGUCCUCCCCUCUGGAGCAGCAGAAAACAAAGCUUGCUCCAUCUUCAGAUAUUUGAAUCCAUCCUCCUGAAUAUUGAUCACUGCCGUCAUGGGCUUGGGAAGAUGGGCUGGCUUUGGAGAAACGUGAACCAACAUGGCUA
This is a long non-coding RNA of Podarcis muralis (Common wall lizard), 2903 nucleotides long. The record is from Ensembl. NCBI's taxonomy places the organism in Eukaryota, Metazoa, Chordata, Lepidosauria, Squamata, Lacertidae.